GACGAACGCUGGCGGCGUGCCUAAUACAUGCAAGUAGAACGCACAGUUUAUACCGUAGCUUGCUACACCAUAGACUGUGAGUUGCGAACGGGUGAGUAACGCGUAGGUAACCUGCCUGGUAGCGGGGGAUAACUAUUGGAAACGAUAGCUAAUACCGCAUAACAUUGAUUAUUGCAUGAUAAUUGAUUGAAAGAUGCUAUUGCAUCACUACCAGAUGGACCUGCGUUGUAUUAGCUAGUAGGUGAGGUGACGGCUCACCUAGGGGACGAUACAUAGCCGACCUGAGAGGGGGAUCGGCCAAGCUGGUCCUGGGGCACGACCCGGACUCCUACGAGAGACAGCAGUAGGGGAUUUUCGGCAAUGGACGAAAGUGUGACCGAUCAACGCCGCGUGAGUGAAGAAGGUUUUCGGAUCGUAAGACUCUGUUAUAAGAGAAGAACGGGUGUGAGAGUGGAAAGUUCACACUGUGACAGUAUCUGACCAGAAAGCGACGGCUAACUACGUG
This 505-nucleotide ribosomal RNA is filed under the name uncultured bacterium. RNAcentral's name for it is "partial 16S ribosomal RNA". It matches the Rfam family "Bacterial small subunit ribosomal RNA", at positions 28 to 507 of the family's 1533-position model. The record is from RNAcentral.